RNAcentral lists this ribosomal RNA (395 nucleotides) under uncultured bacterium. RNAcentral's name for it is "bacterial SSU rRNA". It matches the Rfam family "Bacterial small subunit ribosomal RNA", at positions 994 to 1425 of the family's 1533-position model. The record is from RNAcentral.
UUACCAGUUGGAAACGAAAGAGAUUCCUUUGGGCCCAGGUGCUGCAUGGCUGUCGUCAGCUCGUGUCGUGAGAUGUUGGGUUAAGUCCCGCAACGAGCGCAACCCUGUCUUAGUUGCCAUCGUACUGGACUCUAGGAGACUGCCGGUGUUAACCGGAGGAAGGUGGGGACGACGUCAAGUCCUCAUGGCCCUUAUGCUGGGCUACACACGUGCUACAAUGGGGUACAAGGGGCACGGCGACGGAAGCAAUCCCAAAACCGUCUCAGUUCGGAUUGGAGUCUGCAACUCGACUCCAUGAAGUCGGAAUCGCUAGUAAUCGUAAUCAGCACGUACGGUGAAUACGUUCCCGGGCCUUGUACACACCGCCCGUCACACCAUGGAAGUUAGUGUCCGAA